RNAcentral lists this long non-coding RNA (1122 nucleotides) under Setaria viridis. Its description in RNAcentral is "long non-coding RNA (SVIR_LNC000923)". Lineage: Eukaryota; Viridiplantae; Streptophyta; Magnoliopsida; Poales; Poaceae. The record is from RNAcentral.
GCCACCGAAGACCAUCCCGCCCCAUCGCCGAGGCUGCCCCGCGCGCUGCUGGAGGCCACCCCUAGGAGGCCGGGCCACUGCCGGAGGCCGUCCCUGGGAGGCUAGGCCGCCGGAGGCUGCCCCUGGGAGGCCCCGCGCUCCGCCGGAGACCAUCCUUGGGAGGCCAGGCCGCUGCCACCGUGCCUUGGUUGCAACACGAGAGAGAGGUAGAGCGGAUGAUGGUGACAAGUGGGACUGGGAAGAGAUAAGGUUGAGAGGGAAGGUGUGAGCUGGUUUGGAAGUUGUGGAUUGAUGACGCGGCCGAAGAUGUGUUUCUUUGUUAACUUAUAAUAUAUUUUUGGACCACUAAACAAUUUUAAAUAAAAAAGUUGGCAACUACAAAGUUUAAAAUCUUAUCGAGCUCUAUAAUUUUAAUAUAAAACUUUUAUUCAUCCGAGAGCGUAUGCAAAACUUUGUGUUAAAAAAAUACAACAAUUAAACUUAAUCCUUCUCAUCCUUAACAUCAAAUGAAUAACUUGUAUGUCUGUGACUACUAAAUGAUAUCAAAUGAAAAACUUGUAAACUACAAAAAUAAAGAUCUCGUUAAGCACUACCACUUUGAUAUAGAUCUUGUUUGCAUCCGAGAUCAUUUGAAAAAUUUUAAAAUUCAAGAUAUCAAAAUUAGAGAGCAUAGAAUGAUCUUUUGAACUAUUAAACAAUUUCAAAUGAAAAAGUUGUCAACUACAAGGAUUUAUGUUUCGUUGAGCUCUACAAUUUUGAUAUAAAGUUUUUAUUCAUCCGAGAUGAUAUGAAAAAGUUUGUAUUCAAAAAAUAUAUCUAUCAAACUCAUUCACAUGUACUCACACAUAUACUUAUACAUUAUCAUAUACUCACGCAUAUACUCAUUUAUUUAUAUAUACUCAUAUCCAUUUAAAUCUUAUUGAGUGUUACAACUUUCAGAUAGAGAUUUAUAAUUUUGAUGUAGAUCUUCUCUAUAGCGAAGUCAUUUGAAAAUUCAAAAAUUUUAGAUUUCAAAACUAGAGAACUUAUAAUGAUAUUUUGAAUUAUUAAAUAAUCUUAAAUUGAAAACUUGUCAACUUCAAAAUUUUAGAUAUCAUCGAACUCUACAAGUUUGAUGUAGAG